RNAcentral lists this ribosomal RNA (421 nucleotides) under uncultured bacterium. RNAcentral's name for it is "partial 16S ribosomal RNA". It matches the Rfam family "Bacterial small subunit ribosomal RNA", at positions 360 to 773 of the family's 1533-position model. The record is from RNAcentral.
AACAGUGGACAAUGGUCGAAAGCCUGAUUCAGCUAUGCCUCGUGUGUGAAGAAGGUCAUUGGAUAGUAAUGCACUUUCUGUUGGGAGGAAGGGCAGCAAGUCAAUACCUUACUGAUUUGACGAUACCGACAGAAUAAGCAUCGGCUAACUUCGUGCUUGCAGCCGCGGUAAAACGUAGGCUGCAUGCGUUAAUCGGAAUUACUGGGCGUAAAGCGCGCGUAGGUGGUUUGUUAAGUUGGAAGUGAAAGCCCCGGGCUCAACCUGGGAACUGCUUUCAAAACUGGCAAGCUAAAGUAUGGCAGAGGGUAGUGGAAAUUCCUGUGUAGCGGUGAAAUGCGUAGAUAUAGGAAGGAACACCAGUGGCGAAGGCGACCACCUGGGCUAAUACUGACACUGAGGUGCGAGAGCGUGGGGAGCAAAC